RNAcentral lists this transfer RNA (71 nucleotides) under Hydrolycus scomberoides (payara). RNAcentral's name for it is "tRNA-Val". The record is from RNAcentral. Lineage: Eukaryota; Metazoa; Chordata; Actinopteri; Characiformes; Characidae.
CAGAGUGUGGCCGAGUAGUCAGGCACUUCCCUUACACCGAAAUCACAUCCAUGCAAAUUGGAUCACUCUGA